Non-coding RNA from Paramuricea clavata, 1966 nucleotides. Lineage: Eukaryota; Metazoa; Cnidaria; Anthozoa; Malacalcyonacea; Plexauridae. The record is from the annotation of a GenBank genome assembly.
GUCCUAAUCGUUGGGAGAUUAUAUUUCUUAAUUGUUCUGAAGUUAUAACCAGCCUUAUUCAUUUCUGGUAAAAGUCCGUGAAGUUUGUGAUCUUCAUUUUCUUCAAUUUCACGAAACAGUUUUUCACAUAGUUUCUCUCUACGGUCGUUUAGUCUUUCUAGGUUUCCCAUUUCCAACGCUUCACUAUAAUCCACGUAAGGGUAAAUAAUUCUUAGGGCUCUUUUCUGAAUUUGUUCAAUUUCUUUUGAAAGAUAAUUAGGAAGACCUGAGUGAAAGGCCUGACAAGCGUAUUCAAGGACAGAUCUGAUACAGGCGCAGUAGAAUUUGAUCAAUGAAUUAGUAUCGACAUUCGCACGUUUUAACUGUUUCAGGAGAUAAAGUCGUUUGGAAGCUUUUAAUAAAAUAUUUGCCACAUGGACAUUCCAUUUUAAAUCAUCGGUAAUAGUCAUUCCUAAGAUUUUUGCGGAUGUUACCACUUUGAAAUGUUUAUCAUUUACUUUGACUGGUUCGUCUCUGCAAGGGUCUUUAGUAAAAUUUAUUCUAAGUUCUUUGCAUUUUCCAGAAUUUAAUUGAAAUUUGUUAUUAUUUGACCAAUUAGCCACUUGAUCAACUAUAUCUUGUAAAUUGCUAUUUUCAGUUCUAGGGAUGACCUCCAAAAUUGUGGAAUCAUCAGCGAAUUUCCACAUCUUGUUUGUUGAAUUCUCUGAAACGUUCAAAUCGUUUAUCAUAAUGAGGAACAACCAUGGUGCUAAUUUGGUCCCUUGAGGUACCCCUGCCUGGACUUGCAGUAUAUUGGAAUGGCACUUAUAAUUCAACUUAAUUCUUUGGGUACGCUUAUAUAAGAAGUCUGUAAUCCAAUUAGUGACUGAUGGUUUAAUUCCGUAGUUAAUAAGUUUUGAUAUAAGAAGGGUAUGGUCCACCAAGUCAAAAGCUUUCCUAAAGUCUAAUAAGGCAACUUUCACUGUAGAACCUGUUCCAUCUGUUGCGGCCAACCAGUUAUGUAGCAUUGAGAUAAUUGCAUGAGUUGUACAUGAUUUAGGAAUGAAGCCAAAUUGGUGGGGACCUAUUUUCUGUAAAAUUUUAGGUUUCAGUUCGAGGUCGAUUACAAACCCUUCCGCGAUUUUCGAUAGUGUAGACGUCAACGAUAUUGGUCUCAGGUCUUUGUUGAAAUCAGUUAUGCUCGAUGUUUUAGGGAUGGGUGAUACGCCAGCCAUCUUCCAUGCCUGUGGAACCGCACAGUUACGAAAUGAACAAUUUAAAAUGUCUGUAAUGGCUGGAGCUAAGAUAUCAGCAUAUAUUUUUAAUACCCAAUUUGGAAGUUUGUCUGGACCAUUUGUUCUGGAUAUACUUAUUUUGCGUAACUUCUGCUGAACAGAUGUUAGGCUAACUUGUAUAGGGUCAUCUUCCUCUUGGGUUACAUGGGCAUCGUCUGUUACAGGGGUAUAAUCUUUUGUGACACUAAUAAAGGCUUCGUUUAUCAUAUUAGCUAGUACUUGGUCGGAACAAUCGUUGUUUAUCCUUAGGAUAGAACGUAGAUCUUUACGGUUUGUUGUUUUGCAGCCACAGAGUUGUUUUAUUUCGCACCACCAUUGACUAGGUUUAGUAUUUUUGAGAUCCUGCACUUUAGUUUUAUAAUAUAUUUCACGGCAUCGUUUUCUUUCACGAUUGACUUUAUUUCGUAGGAGUGAGAACAAAGGUUUGUUACCCGUUGCAAAUGCCUUCUGUCUUUUAUUGAUAAGUCGUUUCAAAUUAUUUGUCAUCCACGGACGGUCAGUAGCAUGCACUUUGAUAGAUCUUUCUGGCAUAAUAGUGUUCAGUCCGUAGUUUACUAUGUCGGUAAAAAUUGAGAGUUUUUCACAAGGAGAUUGAACUGAUGAUAAAAUAUCUUCAAAUGGAACGUUCUGGAAAAACCGGCCAAGACUGGAGAUAUUACUUCUUCUUUUAUCGCGCACUUUUAUUAUUUUCU